This is a long non-coding RNA of Chlorocebus sabaeus (green monkey), 1288 nucleotides long. RefSeq lists it as uncharacterized. The record is from RefSeq and is a predicted model, not a curated record. Lineage: Eukaryota; Metazoa; Chordata; Mammalia; Primates; Cercopithecidae.
UUUCCGCCUCUCGAGGGGACUGGGCAUGCGCGCCGGUGCCCGCGCAUGCCCAGCGCGCAGUCAGGCUCCGCUCCCGUAAUUUGCUCUGUGGUGACCAGGCCGGAGUUUCGGGGUGGCUCGAGGCCGCGCGCGGGCGUGGCGGCCGGACGGGGAAAGCCCUGGUCUCGGGAGUGGCCGGGGUCGCCCCGCCGAGCGGACAUCCUGGGGUCCCACCUGCCGCGCUCUCAGCCAGCGGGAUUAGACGGACUUCGGGAAAGCCCUCCCUGUCCCCUUCCCUGCCCCCAAAUCCCUAAGGGGUCCCCUCUGGAGAACCUCCCUCCUGCGCUGCCCUGCCGCCCCGCCCCCAGAGUUGGGCACCCGCUGCGGACCCCGGGCCUUGCAGUGCACUCUCCAGGCACCACACCGACCCUAACGAGCGGUUCCUGGGCCCUAUUUGCAGAUAAGGAAACUGAGGUUCAGAGAUUCUUUUCAUGGCAUUAUAGCCAAGUUGGGCUGGGCCAUGAUUUGAUUUUGGAAGAUGAAAAAUCAUGAAAGGGACUUAGAAGUCCACUGGAGGUAGACAGGUUACCUAAAUGAACGCCAGCAGGGAACGAGCCCCGCAGUCCCUCCUGAGGCCUACAGACCUGAGACGGACUCCUCCAGGCGAAGGAGGGAAGGCUCGCCCCGACACCGACCCGGGCUUCCGCGGUGUGAGCCAGUUUGUCAGCGAGGAGCUGCCCAAGCUAGCCUCAUGAGGAGGCCGUGUGGAAGAGAACUGAGCACCCUGGCCAGCAAGCUGCCAUCUCCAGACAUGUGAGUGAGCUGUGCUAGACCUCCCAGCCCCUGUGAAGCACUCAGCCCGCUGCAGCUACAUAAGACCUGGAGAGACUGAUGGAAGAACUGCCCAGCUGAACCCAGCCCAAAUUGCCAAACCACGGAAUUGUGAGCCAAUAAAAUACAUGUGGUUUGAAGCCUUUAGGUUUUAAGGUAGUGUGUUACACAAUAUUGUUUCCUGGACUCUGCCACGAUACAUUUGAAACUGACGUUCUUGAAGGGCAGCUUUGAUUAUUAUUGUGCUGAAUAAAAGAAGAAAAUCAGAAAAGGGUGGGAAGAAGUGAUGCAAAGGAGAAGGGCAGACAGAGAUACAAACGGGAAAAGGGACAAACCUAGGAAACAGUGGCUUGUCUUACCUCUUGGGCAUACUUUGUGGUGUCUAAGAACUCAGGCUGAGAAGUAAGAUGAACAUUGGCACAGACCCAGGCUCAAGUUUAACCAUUCACCAAUAAACCUGUGAAGGUUGUAUAAUGUC